This 754-nucleotide ribosomal RNA is filed under the name Conocybe sp. BAB-5068. Its description in RNAcentral is "eukaryotic LSU rRNA". The stretch from base 291 to 444 matches the Rfam family "5.8S ribosomal RNA". The record is from RNAcentral. Lineage: Eukaryota; Fungi; Basidiomycota; Agaricomycetes; Agaricales; Bolbitiaceae.
UUAGUGGUAACAAGGUUUCGGUAGGUGACCUUGCGGAAGGAUCAUUAAAGAAAUAACCUUGAUGGGUGGUAGCUGGCUCUAACUUGAGUAUGUGCACGCCUGUCAUUUUUUUCUUUCCACCAUGUGCACUUUGGGUAGGGUCUGAAAAUCAAGUGAAUUCUUGAUGUCUUGGGAACUGUUGUGCUUCCCAGCCAGCUUUUCCUGUCUUCAGGCUUUAUGAUUUUUUAUAUAUCCCCCAUGUAUGUUAAAGAACGCAUUUCCAGGCUUGCAAAAGCCUAUAAACUUUAUCCAACUUUCAGCAAGGGAUUUUUUGGCUCUGGCAUCGAUGAAGAACGCAGCGAAAUGCGAUAAGUAAUGUGAAUUGCAGAAUUCAGUGAAUCAUGGAAUCUUUGAACGCCCCUUGCGCUCCUUGGUAUUCCGAGGAGCAUGCCUGUUUGAGUGUCAUUAAAUUUUCAAUUUCUCCAACUUUUGUUGUUAGCAGGUUGGAUGUGGGGGUUUUUUGUGGGGGUUACAACCUACUCCCUUGAAAUGAAUUAGCUGGGAUGCCUCGGCAAAUCCAACUAUCAGUGUGAUAAAUAUCUUACUGUGGUUGUUGCUUUUGAGGGUAUCCGCUUCUCAACUGUCUGCAAAGACAACUUGAAUCAUUUUGACCUCAAAUCAGGUAGGACUCCCCGGUGAACUUAAGCAUAUCAAUAAGCGGAGGAAAAGAAACUAACAAGGGUUCCCCUAGUAACUGCCAGGGAAGCGGGGAAAA